GUAUUGAUUGCGUGUUAUCGCAAAAAUGGGGGUCAUUCUACACUUUUAAAAUAGGGGUUUGUGUGAAAACGCAAGCCCCCCUCCCGGAUCGGUUUGAUCCCAAAGGGUUGCCCACGCGGUGGUGCACAAAAGGGUGAGAUGGAUUUUUAUGUGAGAGGACACACUCUGGCGUGCACGACUCUUGUGGUAAAAGUCAGCGACAACCCCAGCACCUCCAUUGUAUGAUAAUGAUCCUUCCGCAGGUUCACCUACGGAAA
Molecule: unclassified non-coding RNA, 257 nt
Filed under: uncultured fungus
Lineage: Eukaryota; Fungi
Description: sequence contains ITS1
Source: RNAcentral